UGACGUGCUGAUGACCAAAUUAGAUGGGU
RNAcentral lists this non-coding RNA (29 nucleotides) under Homo sapiens (human). Lineage: Eukaryota; Metazoa; Chordata; Mammalia; Primates; Hominidae. The record is from RNAcentral.